This 237-nucleotide transfer RNA is filed under the name Marmota monax (woodchuck). RNAcentral describes it as "tRNA.Gly". Lineage: Eukaryota; Metazoa; Chordata; Mammalia; Rodentia; Sciuridae. The record is from RNAcentral.
GCUAAUGUAGCUCAGUGGUAGAGCACUUGCCUACCAUGUGCAAAGCCCUGGAUCCAUGCCCCCACUACUGCAAAAAAAAUUUUUUUUAAAUGAACAUGCAUACAUAAACAGAAAUAAUCCUAGUUCAGAUGUUCUAACUAAAGUACAUUCUUGCUGGGCACAGUAGCACAGGCCAGUAAUCCCAGUGGCUCAGAAGGCUGAAGUAGAAGGAUCCUGAGUUCAAAGCCAGCUUUAGCA